ACAUAACAUAUAUCAUAACAUCACACCACAUUAAUUUGGAGUGUGCAAUGAAGAAAAUCUCACAAAUCACAAUUGAGAGGUGCGCAAAUGGACUUUGUUGGGAAACUUUGCAUUGGGGCUGUCUGUUCUUGCAUUCAGAGUCCUGUUGAGAGUGAGGGCAUGGGCCAUAUCUUUUGCACAAAAGAGAAACUUGAUAGUUUAGACAGCCCCAUGGAAGCUCUCAUGGCCAGGAAGAGGGACUUUGAGACCCAGCUUGAUAUUCCCUGCAGCUCAAGACAAAGACCAUCCUAUCAGCUUCAACUCUGGCUCGAAAAGGUUAGUGAAAAAGAUGAGGAGGUAAAGCAGUUGAAAGACAAAUUUGGCAAACAGGGAUGCACUUUGGUACUUAUUAUCUAAAUUGUUAUUCAAAGUAUAGAACAAGUAGAGAUGCAAUGGUUUUAUUGAAUGAGAUAAAUGAGUUGAAAGAAGAACAAAUACAAGUUUCAUUUGUAGAGGAACAACCUCCUAUACCAGUCCCUGCUUCAUUAAAAGUAGUGGGAAGAGGAAUUGGUUCAAAUCUUGAUGUUACUCACGGUUAUCUAGCAGAUGAAACAGUCGGAAUGGUGGGGAUAUGGGGCAUGGGUGGUGUCGGCAAGACCACACUAUUAAGAAAAAUCUACAACUCAUUGUUGGAUGAUGAAAACACAGGAUUCGAUUAUGUAAUAUUGGUUGUGGCUACAAAAGAUGUUCAGUUGGAAAAGCUUCGGGAAGAUAUAGCUAUAAAAUUGCAAUUGAUCAGUUCGUCUAGCAAAGAAGGCAUAUCCAAUUUCUUGAAAACUAAAAAUUUUGUAUUGCUCUUGGAUGAUAUAUUGGCUGUAGUAGAUCUUGUGGAACUUGGGAUUCCUCAUCCUCAUAGUAACGACAACUCCACCAAACAAUGCAAGCGGAAAGUGAUUUUCACUACUCGAUCUGAAGAAUUGUGCACUAAGAUGAGGGCUGAUGAGAAGUUUAAAGUGGAAUGCUUAGAGACACAAGAAGCAUGUGAUCUUUUCAAAGAGAAUGUUAACUUAGAUGUUAUUGUAUCGGAUGUGAGGAUGAAGGAAAUAGCAAGACAAGUGAUGAUUCAUGAAUGAAUGCGGUGGUUUGCCGCUCACUCUUAUACUGAUCGGUAAAGCCAUGUCGAACAAAAAGAAUUUUGAAGAGUGGGACUAUGUACUCAGGUCUUUGAGGAAGUCCAAAACUAGUAUAAUUCAAGAUGUGGAUAAAUCAUUGUAUCCCACUCUAGAAAUAAGUUAUGACAAUCUCCCUAAUAAACUUUGUAAAGAUUGUUUUCUAUAUAUUUCUUUAUGGCCAAGAGGUGUCGGUAUCUCCAAUGAAGAAAUUAUAGACUUCUGGAUAGGACUUGGACUAAUCCAUGAAUUUGAUAAUCUGAGGGAAGCUUAUGGUCAUGGGCAGUAUAUCCUUCGUUUACUAGAGGCAGCGUGUUUGUUGGAGCCUUAUGAGAAAGCAUAUAUGGAUUUCAAAAAAGAUCUGAGGUUACAUGAUGCGAUUCGUGAUAUGGCUCUGUGGAUAGUGGCAAAGUCUGAAGCUAGAAACAUAUGGAUAGCAAAUGCAAAUAUGGGGUUGAACAGAAUAUCAAAUGUGGCAGCUAAGAAAUGGCGGUUUGCAGUAGGGGUAUCUCUGAUGAACAAUAAUAUAGAAACUUUACCGAAAUUGACUCAACAAUGUUCUCACCUCCUGAGCUUAAUGAUGCAACAUAAUUUGAAUUUGAAGAAUAUUCCUGAUGGAUUUUUCUUGUGCAUGUCAAAUCUUAGAUAAUUGAAUCUAUCCGAGACUAAACUUAGAAGACUUCCAAGAGACAUAAAAUGUUUGGUUAAUCUGCAGUACCUCAACAUUUCAAAGACGGAAAUCUCAGUUCUACCAUCUGAGAUGAUAAACUUGCAAAAUCUGCAAUUUUUGAUCUGUCAGCAUUUGUGGUGGGAUCACAUAACACCUGAUGGAUUGGUCUCAAAAUUGCUGAACCUGCAGGUUCUUGACAUAUAUCCAAAUGCCGAGAUAAAACUAAAGGAGCUGAAUACAUUGAAAGAGAACAUCAAAGCAUUAGGACUGUGUGUAACGUCAUUAAAUGUUCUGCAACAACUUUCAGAAUUACCAACAUGGCACAUAUGUUUAGAAAGAUUGUAUGACUUGGUAUCACUUUCAUAUGAUGUUUUAAGUUGCAAAAGCAAUGGAUUUUUGCAAGAGCUAAUAAUCUGUUCAUGUUCACAGCUCGAGGAGAUAGUCAUGAAUGGAAGUGGCACUGAUCUCCGGCAUCUUGACUUGGGUCAUCUUCAGAAUUUAAAGAACAUUGUUUGGAAGGAUGUGGUGCCUCAACGGUUUUUUUGUAAUCUGCAACUUCUGACUAUAAAUGAAUGCCGUAAGUUAUCCAGUCUUUCUUGGGUUAUGCAUCUCCCUUCUCUUACUGAGUUAUCGGUGCAAGUGUGUGAAGGAAUCGAAGAGUUAUUUACAGAGGAGGAUGGAGAAAUUCAAUAAAUAUCCGAAGCCCCUUCCUUUCCCAGCCUGAGAAGUUUGACACUCGAACAUUUACCGAAUUUAGUGAGCAUGAGCAAUCAAGCAUUGGAUUUUCCUCUUCUUUGCUCAUUUCCAAUUUUUAAUUGUCCGAAUUUAAAGAGGCUCGCAUUCAAACCAGACAUUGUCAACAAAGAAUUUGUACAAAUUCAUUGUGUUAAAGAGUGGUGGGAGAGAUUGGAGUGGGAAGAUGACACCAUCCAGUCUUUCCUUUCAAGAUUCAUCAAUUUUAUUGAGAUCAGUCAUUAUCUCUCAACUGUCCCAUUUUGAUUGAAGGUGUUGGAACUAUAUCCAGUUUAAAGAAGGAUGAAGAUGGUUGACCAGUAUUUGAAUCCAUUGAAGAAAAUUAAAAGCCUAAAAAAUUUCAGAUAUUUGUUAGAGAUCACCAAGUAUCAUACAGAUGCAACUUACAUAUGCAUGUUUCGUUCUUGAUGAAGACUUGGUCUAGUAUAUAAUUCAAAUGAAUCAAAUCUCUUUGAAUUAUUUGUUCUUGUUUUCGUGUAGGAAUACGAAUUGUUGUGUGAACUCUGUAAAUACAUAUUCAUCAAGCG
Molecule: RNA transcript, 3098 nt
Organism: Dioscorea cayenensis subsp. rotundata (Guinea yam)
Lineage: Eukaryota; Viridiplantae; Streptophyta; Magnoliopsida; Dioscoreales; Dioscoreaceae
Gene name: probable disease resistance protein At1g63360
Exons: 3
Source: RefSeq, a predicted model, not a curated record